CCUACGGGGGGCAGCAGUGAGGAAUAUUGGUCAAUGGUCGUAAGCCUGAACCAGCCAAGUCGCGUGAGGGAUGAAGGUUCUAUGGAUCAUAAACCUCUUUUAUAAGGGAAUAAAGUGUGGGACGUGUCCUGUUUUGUAUGUACCUUAUGAAUAAGGAUCGGCUAACUCCGUGCCAGCAGCCGCGGUAAUACGGAGGAUCCGAGCGUUAUCCGGAUUUAUUGGGUUUAAAGGGUGCGUAGGCGGCCUUUUAAGUCAGCGGUGAAAGUCUGUGGCUCAACCCUAGAAUUGCCGUUGAAACUGGGAGGCUUGAGUAUGUGUGAGGCAGGCGGAAUGCGUGGGGUAGCGGUGAAAUGCUUAGAUAUCACGCAGAACCCCGAUUGCGAAGGCAGCAUGCCAAGCCAUGACUGACGCUGAGGCACGAAAGCGUGGGGAUCAAACAGGAUUAGAUACCCUUGUAGUC
Molecule: ribosomal RNA, 460 nt
Filed under: uncultured bacterium
Lineage: Bacteria
Description: partial 16S ribosomal RNA
Rfam family: Bacterial small subunit ribosomal RNA
Source: RNAcentral